GAUGAACGCUGGCGGCGUGCCUAAUACAUGCAAGUCGAGCGAACGGUCGAGGGGCUUUCUUCUCUGAUAUUAUCGCCGGACGGGUGAGUAACACGUGUAUAACCUACCUCUCAGACUGGGAUACCUUCGGGGAACAGUAUCUAAUACCGGAUAAUAUUUUACACCUCAUGGUUCAAAAGUUAAAGACGGUCUUACUGUCACUUAUAGAUGGAUCCGCGCUGCAUUAGCUAGUUGUUAAGGUAACGGCUUACCAAGACAACGAUGCAUAGCCGACCUGAGAGGGUGAUCGGCCACACUGGAACUGAGACACGGUCCAGACUCCUACGGGAGGAAGCAGUAGGGAAUCUUCCGCAAUGGGCGAAAGCCUGACGGAGCAACGCCGCGUGAGUGAUGAAGGUCUUCGGAUCGUAAAACUCUGUUAGUAGGGAAGAACAUAUGUGUAAGUAACUGUGCACAUCUUGACGGUACCUAAUCAGAAAGCCACGGCUAACUACGUG
RNAcentral lists this ribosomal RNA (497 nucleotides) under uncultured bacterium. RNAcentral's name for it is "partial 16S ribosomal RNA". It matches the Rfam family "Bacterial small subunit ribosomal RNA", at positions 28 to 507 of the family's 1533-position model. The record is from RNAcentral.